UAAAUACACAAACGCUUACACACACUAAAACUCAGCACAGUUACUGACACUGGAAUAGAGUGAUAAGCGGCUAUGGUGUUCCACAUAGGCAGUACAAACACACGCGUGCGCGAAACGCUACUGCUCCAUGCGCUUUAGGAUUUACCACAGCAGGGCAAUCAUAUUCUCUUAGCGGCGUAUAAGAGCUAAUGGAUCAGCGGAUCUAGGCCAGGAGCGACAAUUUGAUUAUGAGAGGCGGCCCGCGCAAGUGUAACUCUGGCAAAAGACUAAUAUCAUGAAGUUCGAAUCCCUCAGUCCUCGCCGACGCUUGCUGCACAGUUCAGGUGAGCGUUUGCAUUUCGCUGCGCAUAGAUAAACCAUAUGCGAUAACUAUCGUACUAGACGCUCGCGUUGGUGGCAUGGCAGCCAUGGACAUGGCAUGGCAUUCGCUCUGAGCUCUCGAUGAAUACACAUAAACUAUACUAACUUAUCUUUUAGCUGAUAACAAGGAAAAAAAAACCGUGAGAACAACACUUGACACACGUACAUGUCUAUAAUAAAAAAUAUUCACAUGUAUGGAUAAGGCAAGUCGUCACCGAAUGACUAUGCGACUGGUGAUAAGUCAAUGAAAGGUGAAAGCCGCUGCGCGCGCUAUACACGUAUAUAAACACAUAUAUGUCGGUAUGAUUAUCCUUGUAUUCAAAUUGUGUGGUUUUUUUUUCGUUUCUUGUAUUUUAUACGUGCUUAGGGCUAUGCUCUAUCUAAAACAAGAUGCUAUUGUACAACAUUGUCACUGAUUUCUGUUCUGUUUCGGAAUUAGUUUGCCCCUUUCGUUGCGUUUGAGUUUCGUAUCGUAAGGAGCUCUCUCAAUCGUUUUCUCGCGGCGGACGCACUAAGGAAUGUCGCUUGAUCGCCUCCACCAGCCAUUUGAUGCCCUCGUCAACGCCUUCGCCGGUGAGCGCAGAGACGGGUAUCGUAAGGCAAUCGCGUCGUCCGAUCAGUGCACCAGCCUGUUGGAAUACUGGCUUUAUUUCCCGUACGCCCAUCACAUCGGGCAGAUCCUGCUUGUUGGCCAGUAUUAGCAGUGGCACGCCUGAGAGUAACUCGUUCUUAAUCAUUUUGUC
Molecule: long non-coding RNA, 1103 nt
Organism: Drosophila mojavensis
Lineage: Eukaryota; Metazoa; Arthropoda; Insecta; Diptera; Drosophilidae
Exons: 2
Source: RefSeq, a predicted model, not a curated record